GACGAACCGCGCGAACGUUGUUCGGAAUCACUGGGCUUAAAGGGCGCGUAGGCGGUCUUGCAAGUCUGUGGUGAAAUCCUCCAGCCCAACUGGAGAACUGCCGUGGAUACUGCGAGUCUCGAGGGAGGUAGGGGCGUGCGGAACAGAUGGUGGAGCGGUGAAAUGCGUUGAUAACAUCUGGAACUCCGGUGGCGAAGGCGGCACGCUGGACCUCAUCUGACGCUGAGGCGCGAAAGCCAGGGGAGCAAACGGG
This 253-nucleotide ribosomal RNA is filed under the name uncultured bacterium. RNAcentral's name for it is "partial 16S ribosomal RNA". It matches the Rfam family "Bacterial small subunit ribosomal RNA", at positions 524 to 776 of the family's 1533-position model. The record is from RNAcentral.